Molecule: ribosomal RNA, 1081 nt
Filed under: Stagonosporopsis vannaccii
Lineage: Eukaryota; Fungi; Ascomycota; Dothideomycetes; Pleosporales; Didymellaceae
Description: partial large subunit ribosomal RNA
Rfam family: Eukaryotic large subunit ribosomal RNA
Source: RNAcentral
UCCAAGUUCCUUGGAACAGGACGUCACAGAGGGUGAGAAUCCCGUACGUGGUCGCUAGCCUCUACCGUGUAAAGCCCCUUCGACGAGUCGAGUUGUUUGGGAAUGCAGCUCUAAAUGGGAGGUAAAUUUCUUCUAAAGCUAAAUACUGGCCAGAGACCGAUAGCGCACAAGUAGAGUGAUCGAAAGAUGAAAAGCACUUUGGAAAGAGAGUUAAAAAGCACGUGAAAUUGUUGAAAGGGAAGCGCUUGCAGCCAGACUUGCCUGUAGUUGCUCAUCCGGGUUUCUACCCGGUGCACUCUUCUAUAGGCAGGCCAGCAUCAGUUUGGGCGGUUGGAUAAAGGUCUCUGUCAUGUACCUCCUCUCGGGGAGAACUUAUAGGGGAGACGACAUGCAACCAGCCCGGACUGAGGUCCGCGCAUCUGCUAGGAUGCUGGCGUAAUGGCUGUAAGCGGCCCGUCUUGAAACACGGACCAAGGAGUCUAACAUCUAUGCGAGUGUUUGGGUGUCAAGCCCGAACGCGUAAUGAAAGUGAACGGAGGUGGGAACCUUUCGGGGUGCACCAUCGACCGAUCCUGAUGUCUUCGGAUGGAUUUGAGUAAGAGCAUAGCUGUUGGGACCCGAAAGAUGGUGAACUAUGCUUGAAUAGGGUGAAGCCAGAGGAAACUCUGGUGGAGGCUCGCAGCGGUUCUGACGUGCAAAUCGAUCGUCAAAUUUGGGCAUAGGGGCGAAAGACUAAUCGAACUAUCUAGUAGCUGGUUCCUGCCGAAGUUUCCCUCAGGAUAGCAGUAACGUUUUCAGUUUUAUGAGGUAAAGCGAAUGAUUAGAGGCCUGGGGGUUGAAACAACCUUCACCUAUUCUCAAACUUUAAAUAUGUAAGAAGUCCUUGUUACUUGAUUGAACGUGGACAGUUGAAUGUAUCGUUACUAGUGGGCCAUUUUUGGUAAGCAGAACUGGCGAUGCGGGAUGAACCGAACGCGGGGUUAAGGUGCCAGAAUGCACGCUCAUCAGACACCACAAAAGGUGUUAGUUCAUCUAGACAGCAGGACGGUGGCCAUGGAAGUCGGAAUCCGCUAAGGAGUGU